Molecule: ribosomal RNA, 253 nt
Filed under: uncultured bacterium
Lineage: Bacteria
Description: partial 16S ribosomal RNA
Rfam family: Bacterial small subunit ribosomal RNA
Source: RNAcentral
UACGGGGGGGGCAAGCGUUGUUCGGAAUUACUGGGCGUAAAGGGCUCGUAGGCGGCCAACUAAGUCGGAUGUGAAAUCCCCAGGCUCAACCUGGGAACUGCAUCCGAUACUGGAUGGCUUGAAUCCGGGAGAGGGAUGCAGAAUUCCAGGUGUAGCGGUGAAAUGCGUAGAUAUCUGGAGGAAUACCGGUGGCGAAGGCGGCAUCCUGGACCGGCAUUGACGCUGAGGAGCGAAAGCCGGGGGAGCAAACGGG